GACGAACGCUGACGGCGUGCUUAACACAUGCAAGUCGAGCGAUGAAGCUUCUUCGGAAGUGGAUUAGCGGCGGACGGGUGAGUAACACGUGGGUAACCCGCCUCAUAGAGGGGAAUAGCCUUCCGAAAGGAAGACUAAUACCGCAUAAGAUUGUAGCUUCGCAUGAAGCAGCAAUUAAAGGAGCAAUCCGCUAUGAGAUGGACCCGCGUCGCAUUAGCUAGUUGGUGAGGUAACGGCUCACCAAGGCGACGAUGCGUAGCCGACCUGAGAGGGUGAUCGGCCACAUUGGGACUGAGACACGGCCCAGACUCCUACGGGAGGCAGCAGUGGGGAAUAUUGCACAAUGGGGGAAACCCUGAUGCAGCAACGCCGCGUGAGUGAUGACGGUCUUCGGAUUGUAAAGCUCUGUCUUCAGGGACGAUAAUGACGGUACCUGAGGAGGAAGCCACGGCUAACUACGUGCCAGCCGCCGCCGUAA
This 478-nucleotide ribosomal RNA is filed under the name uncultured bacterium. RNAcentral describes it as "partial 16S ribosomal RNA". It matches the Rfam family "Bacterial small subunit ribosomal RNA", at positions 28 to 523 of the family's 1533-position model. The record is from RNAcentral.